Molecule: long non-coding RNA, 1836 nt
Organism: Homo sapiens (human)
Lineage: Eukaryota; Metazoa; Chordata; Mammalia; Primates; Hominidae
Gene: UBA6-DT
Product: UBA6 divergent transcript
Source: Ensembl
GUUUCCGGUUUGGGUGUGGCCGCAUGGCGUGCUGUGGUGCAGGUGGCCGAAGGGGGCGUUACUGUUGCGACUGGCAUCCGCAUCCGGCAGAUGUAGAUGGAACCAAAGUCCAGAAGUUACGCGUCACCCUUGCUCUACAGCCAAACAUGCAGGACUCUAGUAACCCGCGAAAUGAUGGGAUAGCGUUGCAAAUCCUUAAAAGAGUCUUAACGGAGAAGGGAAAAUGUUACAUUGUCAAAGUCCCAAAGCCUUUCAGCCUGAAGCCAGGAACAAUUGUUCAAAGUUUCUUUGGAACAUCAAGGAAGGAAAUCCAGAUUUUACUUUAAGUGCAAUGGGGAGUCAUUAAGGAUUUUGUGUAGAUACAGCAAAAAGACAACAAUCUUCAAGCCACAAUGGCCCUCACCAGAACCCAGCCAUGUGGUCAGCCUGAUCUCGGACUUCACAGCCAGCAGAACUGUUUGUCAAAGAUCAGAUGGUUUCCUUAAGCUGAUAAGCAACUUCAACAAAGUCUCAGGAUACAAAAUCAAUGUGCAAAAAUCAUAAGCAUUCUUAUACACCAAUAACAGACAAACAGCCAAAUCAUGAGUGAACUUCCAUUCAUAAUUGCACAAAGAGAAUCAAAUACCUAGGAAUCCAGCUUACAAGGGAUGUGAAGGACCUCUUCAAGGAGAACUACAAACCACUGCUCAAUGAAAUAAAAGGGGACACAAACAAAUGGAAGAACAUUCCAUGCUCAUGGUUAGGAAGAAUCAAUAUCGUGAAAAUGGCCAUACUGCCCAAGAUAAUUUAUAGAUUCAAUGCCAUCCCCAUCAAGCUACCAAUGACUUUCUUCACAGAAUUGGAAGAAACUACGUUAAAGUUCAUAUGGAACCAGAAAAGAGCCUGCACUGCCAAGACAACCCUAAGCAAAAAGAACAAAGCUGGAGGCAUCAUGCCACCUGACUUCAAACUAUACUACAAGGCUACAGUAACCAAAGCAGCAUGGUACUGGUACCAAAACAGAGAUAUAGACCAACGGAACAGAACAGAGGCCUCAGAAAUAACACCACGCAUCUACAGUCUAUGGUAUUUUACUAUGGAAGCCCACCCUAAGAUUUCAAUUUAGCUUCCAUGUAGUUCCCUGGUGCUUGGCAAUCUCCUGACUCACUACCUUGUCACAUGGUCUAUCCCAAGUCAGUCCUUCUCCUCUUCCCAUAUCCCCCUACUCCAAUAUUCACCCAUAUGUGGCCAAGUCUUCCUCCACCUGAGCUCCUUGCAGAGGAAUGAACAAUUGUUUGAACAUUAAUGAAUAUUAAAUGUAUAACCUGAAUCUAACCUUGAGAGGACAAAUCCCAACUGAGAGACAUUUUACAAAAUGACUGGUCUGCACUCUCCAAAAAUGUCAAUAUCAUGAAACACAAAGAAAGACUGAGAAAUGGUUCCAGCUAAAAGAAUACUAAAGAGGUAUGCAACUGAAUCCACCACAUAAUCUUGGAUUUUCUUUUGUUAAAAGGGCAAAAAUUAAACCGGGAUAACUUAUGAGCUCUGAAUAGAACAUAUAAAUUAAAUAGUGGUAUUGUAUCAAUGUUAAAUUUCUUAUUUUGACAAUCAUUACUGUGGCUGUGUGUGAGAGGCCUUAAACACACAUUGAAGUAUUGAGGGGUAAAGAAAAAUCAUGUCUACAGCUUACUUUUAAGCAAUUGGGAAAAAGUAGAUAAGAUAAAAUAAAUAAGCAAAUGUAAAAUAUUAAUAUUUGAGAAAAUCUGGGUGAAGGUAUCCAGAAAUAUGUAUGAUUCUUGUAACCAUUCUCUGAGUGUCAAAUUAUUUUUAAAAAGCCUUUAUCCUACAACUUUUAAA